AGAACGAACGCUGGCGGCAUGCCUAACACAUGCAAGUCGAACGAGACCUUCGGGUCUAGUGGCGCACGGGUGCGUAACGCGUGGGAAUCUGCCCUUAGGUACGGAAUAACAGUGAGAAAUUACUGCUAAUACCGUAUGAUGUCUUCGGACCAAAGAUUUAUCGCCUAGGGAUGAGCCCGCGUUGGAUUAGCUAGUUGGUGGGGUAAAGGCCUACCAAGGCGACGAUCCAUAGCUGGUCUGAGAGGAUGAUCAGCCACACUGGGACUGAGACACGGCCCAGACUCCUACGGGAGGCAGCAGUGGGGAAUAUUGGACAAUGGGCGAAAGCCUGAUCCAGCAAUGCCGCGUGAGUGAAGAGGCCUUAGGUUGUAAGCUCUUUACCCGGAAGAUAAUGACUGUACCGGGAGAAUAAGCCCGGCUAACUCCGUGCCAGCAGCCGC
Molecule: ribosomal RNA, 440 nt
Filed under: uncultured bacterium
Lineage: Bacteria
Description: SSU rRNA
Rfam family: Bacterial small subunit ribosomal RNA
Source: RNAcentral